UACGUAGGGGGCGAGCGUUGUUCGGAAUUACUGGGCGUAAAGGGCGCGUAGGCGGCCUGCUAAGUCGGACGUGAAAUCCCUCGGCUCAACCGGGGAACUGCGUCCGAUACUGGCGGGCUUGAAUCCGGGAGAGGAAUGCGGAAUUCCAGGUGUAGCGGUGAAAUGCGUAGAUAUCUGGAGGAACACCGGUGGCGAAGGCGGCAUUCUGGACCGGCAUUGACGCUGAUGCGCGAAAGCCAGGGGAGCAAACGGG
RNAcentral lists this ribosomal RNA (253 nucleotides) under uncultured bacterium. RNAcentral describes it as "partial 16S ribosomal RNA". It matches the Rfam family "Bacterial small subunit ribosomal RNA", at positions 524 to 776 of the family's 1533-position model. The record is from RNAcentral.